This 2929-nucleotide ribosomal RNA is filed under the name Escherichia coli. Its description in RNAcentral is "bacterial LSU rRNA". It matches the Rfam family "Bacterial large subunit ribosomal RNA". The record is from RNAcentral. Lineage: Bacteria; Pseudomonadati; Pseudomonadota; Gammaproteobacteria; Enterobacterales; Enterobacteriaceae.
GGGUUGUGAGGUUAAGCGACUAAGCGUACACGGUGGAUGCCCUGGCAGUCAGAGGCGAUGAAGGACGUGCUAAUCUGCGAUAAGCGUCGGUAAGGUGAUAUGAACCGUUAUAACCGGCGAUUUCCGAAUGGGGAAACCCAGUGUGUUUCGACACACUAUCAUUAACUGAAUCCAUAGGUUAAUGAGGCGAACCGGGGGAACUGAAACAUCUAAGUACCCCGAGGAAAAGAAAUCAACCGAGAUUCCCCCAGUAGCGGCGAGCGAACGGGGAGCAGCCCAGAGCCUGAAUCAGUGUGUGUGUUAGUGGAAGCGUCUGGAAAGGCGCGCGAUACAGGGUGACAGCCCCGUACACAAAAAUGCACAUGCUGUGAGCUCGAUGAGUAGGGCGGGACACGUGGUAUCCUGUCUGAAUAUGGGGGGACCAUCCUCCAAGGCUAAAUACUCCUGACUGACCGAUAGUGAACCAGUACCGUGAGGGAAAGGCGAAAAGAACCCCGGCGAGGGGAGUGAAAAAGAACCUGAAACCGUGUACGUACAAGCAGUGGGAGCACGCUUAGGCGUGUGACUGCGUACCUUUUGUAUAAUGGGUCAGCGACUUAUAUUCUGUAGCAAGGUUAACCGAAUAGGGGAGCCGAAGGGAAACCGAGUCUUAACUGGGCGUUAAGUUGCAGGGUAUAGACCCGAAACCCGGUGAUCUAGCCAUGGGCAGGUUGAAGGUUGGGUAACACUAACUGGAGGACCGAACCGACUAAUGUUGAAAAAUUAGCGGAUGACUUGUGGCUGGGGGUGAAAGGCCAAUCAAACCGGGAGAUAGCUGGUUCUCCCCGAAAGCUAUUUAGGUAGCGCCUCGUGAAUUCAUCUCCGGGGGUAGAGCACUGUUUCGGCAAGGGGGUCAUCCCGACUUACCAACCCGAUGCAAACUGCGAAUACCGGAGAAUGUUAUCACGGGAGACACACGGCGGGUGCUAACGUCCGUCGUGAAGAGGGAAACAACCCAGACCGCCAGCUAAGGUCCCAAAGUCAUGGUUAAGUGGGAAACGAUGUGGGAAGGCCCAGACAGCCAGGAUGUUGGCUUAGAAGCAGCCAUCAUUUAAAGAAAGCGUAAUAGCUCACUGGUCGAGUCGGCCUGCGCGGAAGAUGUAACGGGGCUAAACCAUGCACCGAAGCUGCGGCAGCGACACUAUGUGUUGUUGGGUAGGGGAGCGUUCUGUAAGCCUGCGAAGGUGUGCUGUGAGGCAUGCUGGAGGUAUCAGAAGUGCGAAUGCUGACAUAAGUAACGAUAAAGCGGGUGAAAAGCCCGCUCGCCGGAAGACCAAGGGUUCCUGUCCAACGUUAAUCGGGGCAGGGUGAGUCGACCCCUAAGGCGAGGCCGAAAGGCGUAGUCGAUGGGAAACAGGUUAAUAUUCCUGUACUUGGUGUUACUGCGAAGGGGGGACGGAGAAGGCUAUGUUGGCCGGGCGACGGUUGUCCCGGUUUAAGCGUGUAGGCUGGUUUUCCAGGCAAAUCCGGAAAAUCAAGGCUGAGGCGUGAUGACGAGGCACUACGGUGCUGAAGCAACAAAUGCCCUGCUUCCAGGAAAAGCCUCUAAGCAUCAGGUAACAUCAAAUCGUACCCCAAACCGACACAGGUGGUCAGGUAGAGAAUACCAAGGCGCUUGAGAGAACUCGGGUGAAGGAACUAGGCAAAAUGGUGCCGUAACUUCGGGAGAAGGCACGCUGAUAUGUAGGUGAAGUCCCUUGCGGAUGGAGCUGAAAUCAGUCGAAGAUACCAGCUGGCUGCAACUGUUUAUUAAAAACACAGCACUGUGCAAACACGAAAGUGGACGUAUACGGUGUGACGCCUGCCCGGUGCCGGAAGGUUAAUUGAUGGGGUCAGCGCAAGCGAAGCUCUUGAUCGAAGCCCCGGUAAACGGCGGCCGUAACUAUAACGGUCCUAAGGUAGCGAAAUUCCUUGUCGGGUAAGUUCCGACCUGCACGAAUGGCGUAAUGAUGGCCAGGCUGUCUCCACCCGAGACUCAGUGAAAUUGAACUCGCUGUGAAGAUGCAGUGUACCCGCGGCAAGACGGAAAGACCCCGUGAACCUUUACUAUAGCUUGACACUGAACAUUGAGCCUUGAUGUGUAGGAUAGGUGGGAGGCUUUGAAGUGUGGACGCCAGUCUGCAUGGAGCCGACCUUGAAAUACCACCCUUUAAUGUUUGAUGUUCUAACGUGGACCCGUGAUCCGGGUUGCGGACAGUGUCUGGUGGGUAGUUUGACUGGGGCGGUCUCCUCCUAAAGAGUAACGGAGGAGCACGAAGGUUGGCUAAUCCUGGUCGGACAUCAGGAGGUUAGUGCAAUGGCAUAAGCCAGCUUGACUGCGAGCGUGACGGCGCGAGCAGGUGCGAAAGCAGGUCAUAGUGAUCCGGUGGUUCUGAAUGGAAGGGCCAUCGCUCAACGGAUAAAAGGUACUCCGGGGAUAACAGGCUGAUACCGCCCAAGAGUUCAUAUCGACGGCGGUGUUUGGCACCUCGAUGUCGGCUCAUCACAUCCUGGGGCUGAAGUAGGUCCCAAGGGUAUGGCUGUUCGCCAUUUAAAGUGGUACGCGAGCUGGGUUUAGAACGUCGUGAGACAGUUCGGUCCCUAUCUGCCGUGGGCGCUGGAGAACUGAGGGGGGCUGCUCCUAGUACGAGAGGACCGGAGUGGACGCAUCACUGGUGUUCGGGUUGUCAUGCCAAUGGCACUGCCCGGUAGCUAAAUGCGGAAGAGAUAAGUGCUGAAAGCAUCUAAGCACGAAACUUGCCCCGAGAUGAGUUCUCCCUGACCCUUUAAGGGUCCUGAAGGAACGUUGAAGACGACGACGUUGAUAGGCCGGGUGUGUAAGCGCAGCGAUGCGUUGAGCUAACCGGUACUAAUGAACCGUGAGGCUUAACCUUACAACGCCGAAGCUGUU